Molecule: small nuclear RNA, 118 nt
Organism: Oryctolagus cuniculus (rabbit)
Lineage: Eukaryota; Metazoa; Chordata; Mammalia; Lagomorpha; Leporidae
Gene: U2
Rfam family: U2 spliceosomal RNA
About the family: U2 is a small nuclear RNA (snRNA) component of the spliceosome (involved in pre-mRNA splicing). Complementary binding between U2 snRNA (in an area lying towards the 5' end but 3' to hairpin I) and the branchpoint sequence (BPS) of the intron results the bulging out of an unpaired adenosine, on the BPS, which initiates a nucleophilic attack at the intronic 5' splice site, thus starting the first of two transesterification reactions that mediate splicing.
Source: Ensembl
AUCGCUUCUCGGCCUUUUGGCUAAGAUCAAGUGUAGUAACUAUUACUGUUCUAAUUGAUCACUUUAUUUGAUUCUGAGACACAAGUGAUUUUUUUUUUUCAUUCAGUGAGUACCCUUU